UUUCAAGGAAGGGGGGAAGAACAAGUAACAACCCUAACCCUCACUCAUAUAAUCAAAUCCCAAUAACUCUUGAUCCGAAGCUUCGAUCGCCGCACCGUUUACGGCUAUGCAUUCACCGUGUCGAGCUCUACGAAUCUACCAGAACAAUUUUAUAGCUGCUGAAGGGACCUUCUUUGGUUACUUCUGGACAAAUGGUCAGAUAUGCAUUGCAACUUUUUGCCUUAUUGUUCAUUAUGAAAAAUUAUUGAAGUUUAUCUCAAACGCUAAGAGUGAGGGCGCAACCAUUUUGAUUGGUGGAUCUUGUUCAGAGGUAUGACCAAAUGAUUAUACUUUCUUUGAAAGUGUGGCCAGUUAUGUACUUCUGCAAGUGUCAUGAAUGAUCCCCCUCUCUUUUCACAAAUUUGAUGGUUGGCAAAAAGCUUAACACUUCACUUGCACCUGCUUUUCAUUAUGUAUAUGUUUGUUUUCUGCAAUGUAGAAAUAGUAGUGGUUGUAAUGAUAUUAGGAUCUGUAUUUUUAGUACUAAUCAUGAUCAUGAUAUAAAAUAUUUAUUUAAUUUUGAUCAUUAGUUAUGUGAUAAUCAUUGGUGUAAUAUAGACUUGUAGUAUUUGUGUUGUUUAAAUUUGUAUUAUACUUUAUUGUUUUUCAAAAAAAAUUUGUGUAUAAACAUUUUGAAUUUAAUGAAAUAUUUUAUUUUGUGG
Non-coding RNA from Arachis ipaensis, 701 nucleotides. The record is from RefSeq and is a predicted model, not a curated record. Lineage: Eukaryota; Viridiplantae; Streptophyta; Magnoliopsida; Fabales; Fabaceae.